RNAcentral lists this ribosomal RNA (607 nucleotides) under uncultured bacterium. Its description in RNAcentral is "bacterial SSU rRNA". The stretch from base 1 to 540 matches the Rfam family "Bacterial small subunit ribosomal RNA", at positions 338 to 873 of the family's 1533-position model. The record is from RNAcentral.
CCUACGGGAGGCAGCAGUGGGGAAUUUUGGACAAUGGGCGAAAGCCUGAUCCAGCCAUACCGCGUGCGGGAAGAAGGCCUUCGGGUUGUAAACCGCUUUUGUCAGGGAAGAAAUGCUUCGGGCUAAUACCCUGGGGUGAUGACGGUACCUGAAGAAUAAGCACCGGCUAACUACGUGCCAGCAGCCGCGGUAAUACGUAGGGUGCAAGCGUUAAUCGGAAUUACUGGGCGUAAAGCGUGCGCAGGCGGUUCUAUAAGACAGAUGUGAAAUCCCCGGGCUCAACCUGGGAACUGCAUUUGUGACUGUAGAGCUAGAGUACGGUAGAGGGGGAUGGAAUUCCGCGUGUAGCAGUGAAAUGCGUAGAUAUGCGGAGGAACACCGAUGGCGAAGGCAAUCCCCUGGACCUGUACUGACGCUCAUGCACGAAAGCGUGGGGAGCAAACAGGAUUAGAUACCCUGGUAGUCCACGCCCUAAACGAUGUCAACUGGUUGUUGGGAGGGUUUCUCUCAGUACGAAGCUAACGCGUGAAGUUGACCGCCUGGGGAGACGCGCGAGUGAACGUAAGUAGAGUGNGNGNGAGAGNGCGAGACGACGACGAGGGAGAGG